This 397-nucleotide ribosomal RNA is filed under the name uncultured bacterium. RNAcentral describes it as "partial 16S ribosomal RNA". It matches the Rfam family "Bacterial small subunit ribosomal RNA", at positions 523 to 918 of the family's 1533-position model. The record is from RNAcentral.
AUACGUAGGGUGCGAGCGUUGUCCGGAUUGAUUGGGCGUAAAGGGCGCGUAGGUGGCUUUGCAAGUCAGUAGUGGAAGUCCAUUUUUCAAGGAUGGAAGUGCUACAGAAACUGCGGAGCUUGAGUGCAGGAGAGGUUAUCGGAAUUCCCGGUGUAGCGGUGAAAUGCGUAGAGAUCGGGAGGAACACCAGUGGCGAAGGCGGGUAACUGGACUGCAACUGACGCUGAGGCGCGAAAGUGUGGGGAGCAAACAGGAUUAGAUACCCUGGUAGUCCACACCGUAAACGAUGAAUGCUAGGUGUAGGAGGUAUCGACCCCUUCUGUGCCGCAGUAAACACAGUAAGCAUUCCGCCUGGGGAGUACGGUCGCAAGAAUGAAACUCAAAUGAAUUGACGGGG